Molecule: long non-coding RNA, 472 nt
Organism: Formica exsecta
Lineage: Eukaryota; Metazoa; Arthropoda; Insecta; Hymenoptera; Formicidae
Exons: 3
Source: RefSeq, a predicted model, not a curated record
GAGGAAGCUAAGCCCAGUGUGGCGCAGAAGCGUUAGUUUCCAAGGAACAGACCAAGCUCGACAAAAUUUUAAAUAUAGAAAAAGAAUCAGGCUCGAAAGAGAAUCCUGGCAGGAGUCUGCGUGGACUAACGUUUUUUAUUACCGGAGCGACGGAGUACAUGUCCAGAGCAGAAGUCUGUAAAUUAAUAACAGACACCGUGGUGAAAACGGUGCACCGUUUGCAAGCUUUCUCGGAGGGUGCUUGGAGGAUGUUAUAUCGUUGUUGGCGGCAAGGCAGCAGGACAAACGAAAUUGAAGAAAGUACAGGUCUAUCAUCUCGUUAUAGACAUUUAUACAUUUGCCAUAUACUUAUCGUGUUUCUCGUUGAAAAUAAUGGGAGAAGCGGCGGAGGGGGGUCCGGCUGGAAGAGAUAUUUCUCUCCGACUCUGAUGAAGAGAGAGAGAGAGAGAGAGAGAGAGAGAGAGAGAGAGAG